CUUACCAAAUUUACUGAAACUACGAAUACGUAUGCGGCGAAAAAAAGCAGACAGACAUUGGAUGCGAAGGUCUUCUGUCAAAAGGGAAACAGCCCAGAUCGCCCGUUAAGGUCUUCAAUAAAUAUUUAAGUGAAUAAAGCAGUGAUUAAACAAAAACAAUCAAUAGGUAGGCUUGGAAGCAGCCACCCUUUAAAGAAAGCGUAACAGCUCGUUGAUCCAGUUUUGUCGCGCUGAAAAUGUAUAGAGACUCAAAAUAUUAACCGAAACGGCGAAUUUUAAAUGAAAAUGGUAGCGGAACGUUCUGUAUUUUUUAGAAGGCAAGUUGUAAAAUUUGCUGGAGAAAUCAGAAGCGAGUAUACUGGCAUGAGUAGCGAUAAAUAAUGUGAAAAACAUUAUCACCGUAAAUCCAAGGGUUUCGUAGCACGGCUAAUCC
RNAcentral lists this ribosomal RNA (433 nucleotides) under Florenciella parvula. RNAcentral describes it as "partial Bacterial large subunit ribosomal RNA". It matches the Rfam family "Bacterial large subunit ribosomal RNA", at positions 935 to 1371 of the family's 2925-position model. The record is from RNAcentral. Lineage: Eukaryota; Dictyochophyceae; Florenciellales.